ACGCGUGUAGCUCAACUGGCAGAGCACCGGCCUCCAAAUCCGACGCUUGAGGGUUCGACUCCUUACGCGCGUGCCA
Molecule: transfer RNA, 76 nt
Filed under: Acidovorax sp. Root217
Lineage: Bacteria; Pseudomonadati; Pseudomonadota; Betaproteobacteria; Burkholderiales; Comamonadaceae
Also listed under: 3 other names
Description: tRNA-Trp
Rfam family: tRNA
About the family: Transfer RNA (tRNA) molecules are approximately 80 nucleotides in length. Their secondary structure includes four short double-helical elements and three loops (D, anti-codon, and T loops).
Source: RNAcentral